CCUACCAUUUGUAACCAGUUCAUCUUAUGCUAAGAGUGUUCCGCUUUUGCAGUUGAAUAGCGGGAGGGUUUGUUUGUUUACCUUCGGGAAGUCAGAUGCGCGUUGGGUGUGUCAGCCUCCUGAGGGAAGGCCAGCUGACUGGAGUCACUCUGGCUAUAGGUCUUUGUUUCCUGCUUAGUCUCUGGUCUGUGGAGAGAUUUAGCGUUGCUCUUAGGGGAGGCGGGACAGGGAGACGGAAGCAGGUGGCGAGCCUCCCGACCCAGGGCAGAGCGCCUUUGUGAGGUGGGGUGCGGUGAGCUUCCCUGGGGGCCUUCAUGCUCUGUUGUGCUUUGAGAAAGUCAGAAUGUCCCUUUCACAUUGCAGGCUGUCACCCUGAACUGUGCCCACAGUUUCUGCUCCUUCUGCAUCAGUGAGUGGAUGAAGCGGAAAGUGGAGUGUCCCAUCUGUCGGAAGGACAUUGAGUCCAGAACCAACUCGCUGGUUCUGGACAACUGCAUCAGUAAGAUGGUGGAACGCCUGAGCUCAGACGUGAAGGAGAGGAGAAGCGUCCUCAUUAGGGAACGAAGAGCAAAGAGACUGUUAUGAAGGUCAUGCUCCAAGGACAUGUGAGAGACUAGGAGGAUGGCAGCUUGGCGCGUUCUAGAGGAUUCCCUUUGGCUGCUCUGGACAUCAUCGGAAGCCGUGUGCUGCAGAGACUUAGGAAGUCUGUGUCACUGGCCUUCUGUCUGCUGGCCCUGCUGCUGACAUCACCGUCUACAGUGCUGCUGGGACACCCACUUGGAGUGACUGCCUCACUACGUGUUAAAUGAGUUGAGUUCUGUGUUUCUUCAUUUGUUGAUUGUUUUUGAUACCUCAUGCACCCUGUUGACAUCGCCUUGGACACUUGGGUGCGCCCUAUGGCUGCAUGGAAGGUGGCCUGCAUUUUGAGAGUCUGGUUUACCUUUUAAUGAAAACAAGAUGUCAUUUCUUGGAAAUAAAUAUAUAAAACCCGCCAGUUGCUCA
This 1002-nucleotide long non-coding RNA is filed under the name Rattus norvegicus (Norway rat). RNAcentral describes it as "long non-coding RNA NONRATT017223". Lineage: Eukaryota; Metazoa; Chordata; Mammalia; Rodentia; Muridae. The record is from RNAcentral.